RNAcentral lists this transfer RNA (67 nucleotides) under Vibrio paracholerae 87395. RNAcentral describes it as "Vibrio cholerae O1 str. 87395 partial tRNA-OTHER". Lineage: Bacteria; Pseudomonadati; Pseudomonadota; Gammaproteobacteria; Vibrionales; Vibrionaceae. The record is from RNAcentral.
GCGGUGGUGGCGGAAUUGGUAGACGCGCUAGCUUCAGGUGUUAGUGUCCUUCGGACGUGAGGGUUCA